This 330-nucleotide ribosomal RNA is filed under the name Triticum aestivum (bread wheat). RNAcentral describes it as "partial small subunit ribosomal RNA". Lineage: Eukaryota; Viridiplantae; Streptophyta; Magnoliopsida; Poales; Poaceae. The record is from RNAcentral.
AUGUCCCGUUAUCGAGGACCUCGUUUAAAAAAAAUACGCCGUCUAGGAGCUUUACCAGGACUCACUAGAAAAACACCUAAAUCCGGAAGUAAUCUUAAAAAAAAUUCAAUUCUGGGAAAAAGGAGCAAUAUCGUAUUCGUCUUCAAGAAAAACAGAAAUUGCAUUUUCAUUAUGGUCUGGCAGAACGACAAUUACUUAGAUAUGUACAUAUCGCUGGAAAAGCAAAAAGGUCAACAGGCCAGGUUUUACUACAAUUACUUGAAAUGCGUUUGGAUAAUAUCCUUUUUCGAUUGGGUGUGGCUUCAACCAUUCCUGGGGCCCGCCAAUUAG